Molecule: ribosomal RNA, 882 nt
Filed under: Berkeleyomyces basicola
Lineage: Eukaryota; Fungi; Ascomycota; Sordariomycetes; Microascales; Ceratocystidaceae
Description: partial large subunit ribosomal RNA
Rfam family: Eukaryotic large subunit ribosomal RNA
Source: RNAcentral
AUAAGCGGAGGAAAAGAAACCAACAGGGAUUGCCCUAGUAACGGCGAGCGAAGCGGCAACAGCUCAAAUUUGAAAUCUGGCUAUUUUGUAGUCCGAGUUGUAAUUUGUAGAGGAUGCUUUUGGUGAGGUGCCUUCCGAGUUCCCUGGAACGGGACGCCAGAGAGGGUGAGAGCCCCGUACGGUUGGAUACCAAACCUUUGUAUAGCUCCUUCGACGAGUCGAGUAGUUUGGGAAUGCUGCUCUAAAUGGGAGGUAUAUCUCUUCUAAAGCUAAAUAUAGGCUAGAGACCGAUAGCGCACAAGUAGAGUGAUCGAAAGAUGAAAAGCACUUUGAAAAGAGAGUUAAACAGCACGUGAAAUUGUUGAAAGGGAAGCGCCUAUGACCAGACUUGUUUCUUUCAGUUUUGUUAGUUUUCGGACUGAUUUACUCUGUUAGUACAGGCCAGCAUCAGUUUGUUGUCAGGGAGAAAGGCUUAGGGAAUGUGGCUCUUUCGGGAGUGUUAUAGCCCUUUGCAUAAUACCUUUCGGCAGACUGAGGACCGCGCUUCGGCAAGGAUGCUGGCGUAAUGGUCAUCAGCGACCCGUCUUGAAACACGGACCAAGGAGUCAACCUUAUGUGCGAGUGUUUGGGUGUAAAACCCCAGCGCGUAAUGAACGUGAACGUAGGUGAGAGCUUCGGCGCAUCAUCGACCGAUUCUGAUGUUCUCGGAUGGAUUUGAGUAAGAGCACACAGGGUUGGACCCGAAAGAAGGUGAACUAUGCUUGUAUAGGGUGAAGCCAGAGGAAACUCUGGUGGAGGCUCGCAGCGGUUCUGACGUGCAAAUCGAUCGUCAAAUAUGAGCAUGGGGGCGAAAGACUAAUCGAACCUUCUAGUAGCUGGUUC